GAUGAACGCUGGCGGCGUGCCUAAUACAUGCAAGUCGAGCGAACAGACGAGGAGCUUGCUCCUCUGACGUUAGCGGCGCACGGGUGAGUAACACGUGUAUACCCUACCUAUAAGACUGGGAUAAUUUCGGGAAACCGGAUCUAAUACCGGAUAAUAUAUUGAACCGUAUGGUUCAAUAGUGAAAGACGGUUUUGCUGUCACUUAUAGAUGGAUCCGCGCCGCAUUAGCUAGUUGGUAAGGUAACGGCUUACCAAGGCUACGAUGCGUAGCCGACCGGAGAGGGUGAUAGGCCGCCCUGGAACUGAGACGCGGUCAAGACUCCUACGGGAGGCAGCAGUAGGGAAUGUGCCGCAAUGGGCGGAAGCCUGACGGAGCAACGCCACGUGAGUGAUGAAGGUCUUCGGAUCGUAAAACUCUGUUAUUAGGGAAGAACAGAUGUGUAAGUAACUAUGCACGUCUUGACGGUACCUAAUCAGAAAGCAACGGCUAACUACGUG
Molecule: ribosomal RNA, 497 nt
Filed under: uncultured bacterium
Lineage: Bacteria
Description: partial 16S ribosomal RNA
Rfam family: Bacterial small subunit ribosomal RNA
Source: RNAcentral